CGGCAUCGCCGAGCUGGAAAAAAUUUUGAUGAAAGAUGNUCUCGCGGCCUAUCAGCUAGUUGGUGAGGUAAAGGCUCACCAAGGCGACGACGGGUAGCCGGCNNGAGAGGGCGACCGGCCACACUGGGACUGAGACACGGCCCAGACUNCUACGGGAGGCAGCAGUGGGGAAUAUUGCGCAAUGGGCGAAAGCCUGACGCAGCAACGCCGCGUGGGGGAUGAAGGCCUUCGGGUUGUAAACCUCUUUCAGCAGGGAAGAAGCGAAAGUGACGGUACCUGCAGAAGAAGCACCGGCUAACUACGUGCCAGCAGCCGCGGUAAUACGUAGGGUGCAAGCGUUGUCCGGAUUUAUUGGGCGUAAAGAGCUUGUAGGCGGUUAGUCACGUCGGAUGUGAAAUCCCGGAGCUCAACUCCGGGCCUGCAUUCGAUACGGGCUGACUCGAGUGUUGUAGGGGAGACUGGAACUCCUGGUGUAGCGGUGAAAUGCGCAGAUAUCAGGAAGAACACCGGUGGCGAAGGCGGGUCUCUGGGCAACUACUGACGCUGAGGAGCGAAAGCGUGGGGAGCAAACAGGAUUAGAUACCCUGGUAGUCCACGCCGUAAACGGUGGGCGCUAGGUGUGGGGAACAUUCCACGUUCUCUGCGCCGCAGCUAACGCAUUAAGUGCCCCGCCUGGGGAGUACGAUCGCAAGAUUAAAACUCAAAGGAAUUGACGGGGCCCCGCACAAGCAGCGGAGCAUGCGGCUUAAUUCGACGCAACGCGAAGAACCUUACCAAGGCUUGACAUAUAGCGAAAAGUGGCAGAGAUGUCAUGUCCGCAAGGGCGCUAUACAGGUGGUGCAUGGUUGUCGUCAGCUCGUGGCGUGAGAUGUUGGGUUAAGUCCCGCAACGAGCGCAACCCUCGUUCUGUGUUACCAGCAUUUAGUUGGGGACUCACAGGAGACUGCCGGGGUCAACUCGGAGGAAGGU
This 969-nucleotide ribosomal RNA is filed under the name uncultured bacterium. Its description in RNAcentral is "bacterial SSU rRNA". It matches the Rfam family "Bacterial small subunit ribosomal RNA", at positions 186 to 1174 of the family's 1533-position model. The record is from RNAcentral.